This is a long non-coding RNA of Dromaius novaehollandiae (emu), 3931 nucleotides long. NCBI's taxonomy places the organism in Eukaryota, Metazoa, Chordata, Aves, Casuariiformes, Dromaiidae. The record is from Ensembl.
AUGUCGAUGAGUGGCUGCAGAUUUGCUUCUGUAGAAAAGUCAGUGCUGCUAAGUUUGCUUUCCCAGUUGCAUCAGUCUGCAUCAGCGUUUCUGCUCGCUUUGGCUUUCCUUGCUAUUGUAGUAAGCCUUUACUCAUCGCUGUUCUUCCAGCAAACAGCAUGCAAGGGCCCAGUCGGGGGUCAGAGCUCGGUCAGGCUAGACCAGCAGCGAGCAAGCGGACAGGCUGUCCCGAGAGCUCGCCAUUGCCGUAGCCCCGGGGAAGCGCCGAGCCGCAGAGCUGUCCCCAGCGAGGUCCCCCCGCUGCAAGGGGCUACCCGAAAGGCGUAUCAGAGCCGACAGCGAGGCGCUCCUGGGACGGAGGAGGAGCAGGGGGGAAACACCAGCUGUAACAAAGUCUGUUGAGAAACCUCUCUUCAGGUGCCUGUGCGUAUGGAUUUUUAUUUUUUCCCCCAAAAAAACAGAGGAGAAAUUAUAAAGGAAAGGAAGGGUUCUGCACUACUUACUAAUGAAGUGCAUCAAUUAAUCAUUUCCAAUAUAAUUUACUAUUGAACUGUACAGUAAAUGCGUGUUUGCUAAAGCAGGCAAAUCACUCUGCAAUUCACGGCGAUGUGGAGCUGAAAACGUGCCCAGCAGCCAGGACCCGGCUCUGCCAAGAGCCUGCUGCGGUCCUCGCUCUGGGGAAGGGCCGGCGGCGGGAGGGCAGCUAGCGAGGCGUGCUGGCUCCUGGUUAGCACCAGGUGCUUUAAUUAAGAGGCAGGUUUUCAAUUUCAUGGAGGAAGUGAACAUUUUCAAUCAGCACUUUAAAGCAAUGUGAGCAAUUACCGUCGUAUUUGCUUGAAUGUCGAGGCCGACGUGCUCUGCCGUUUUCAGCUGCCGGCGCUCCGUGGCGAGGCAUCGCGCUGGCAGAUGCUGUUUGGCUGCUGUGUCUUGUUUACAUGAUAUAACUAGCUUAAAUUUUGUAUCAUCGCAAGUAUGUAUUCAUUAGUCUAAACGAAUGUUUUUCCGUCCGCUCGUGUGCCAAGAGGCACUUUUGGGGACGGGAGCAGCCCCCGGGCUGAGGUCCUGACUCCUCGCUGGGGCUCGGCAGCGCCUUCGCCCCGGCGGCACCGGCUCCGCUCCGCGGCGGCAGCACGACUGCCCGCAGGCGCACGCACCGCCGUGGGUGCCACGCGCUCAGCAUGACACCCAACCGACCUGCCACAGAAUUACACCAUUUUUAGCAAAACCCAGAGACCAAGUUCCCCAGAGUUAAGCCAACCGGGACGCUGCGAGGUGCUGAGGCCCCCCGUCCUCACGGGGAGGGCCCGGGUUCCCGCAGCACCCAGGGCUGAAACGCAAGGUGACGUGGGGUGCAAAGCUGUCCCUUGCUGCUGCAUCUGAUGGGAAAUACCCCAAUGGAGCGGUUUUGGACUGACCUGCAGUCUGCCAAAAUUGUGCCUGCUUCCCUGAGUCUUCAUGUGGAGGAAAAAAGGGAAGAACGUUCUGACGCUCCUAGAGUCCUAAAUCAAUCUUUUCUGCAUAGUGCAUAUUUUCUUUCCAUUUCAGAAUUAAACUCUUCGAGCACCUACGUUAGAAGAUAAAAAGCAAAAAUUAGAAUCUGAAACCAAAUACUUAAACUGUCCCAAGGUACUUUUUCAUAUUUUUUCUUAAUCUAUUUUCAAAAAUUWAAGUUUCUUUCCUAAUCAGGAAAAAGUUACAAAAAUUGCCCACAGCUUUUCAGAUGCAGGAUUUGUGUUAGAAGGAUCGCAAUAGAAAGGCAAGUCGCAUGCACAGAAGCUUCAUUUGACCUCCUUAAUUUAAGCAAACGCAGCAUCUCUCUGAGGCGCAUCCCACUCGUAGUGAAGCCGUGCGAUAGCGCAAGGCGAGAGAGUCCUCCAGGGUAGGACAGGAGCAGGACACGGGGACGAGACGUGACGCCGUCACCACAUGUCCGGCCCGGGGGGAUGGUGCAGCCGKGCUGCAACUUUACCGAGGGGCGAAGAGGUGCCGAGCGCUCAGUAUGGAGCACAGAAAUGAUUGCGAAUAUCCAGAAACGGGAAUACAGAAAAAUUAUUGACAACGGACCAUAUUAUAUCAUUGAUUUUUAAGCAAAACUCCCCAUUGAUUUUUCAGAACCGCAUUGAACAUUUCAGAAUCAUUGAUUUUAAUGGGGAGUUCUGCUCCAAAAUCAAUGGUGCAAUACAGCCCAAAGUAAAUUGCUUCUGAGUAUCAAUAUUUUUUGCCCGAGUUGUUGCAAUGUGGAAAAUGGUCUUUAAAAUGUGCAUCUUCUGUUUCUGCCUGCUUUCUUAGAGGCUCUUUGAAUUCUGCUUUUGUUGAGAGGCUAAAGGGAACGGGCUGGUCGUGGCAAUGGCGAUGCCCAGCAGCCGUUGCAGGUGCCUCCRGCCUCCUAGGAAGGCAAAGACCCUCCUAAUUCCUCCAGGUCAGGAUGGGGAUUUUUCCGUGAAUCCCCGUUUUCACACCAUUUUGCAUGCCGAACCGCGUACCAGGGGCCUCAUCCUAAGCUCCUCGGGAUGCAAGUGCCUUUGGCGCUGCUGGGGGCAGGUGUCGUCGCCUCCUUCGUAGGUGCCGGCAGGGAAAAGCCGGCACUGCGGGGUGCCUGGGCUCCCUGCGCCGUCGGGGCAGGGAAAUCCGACCCCGUAUCCGUGGGCACCUCCGUGGGCCCGGCUCCGCACAGGGCGGCCCAGCCGGCACCUGCGCCCUGCGUUGCAGAGCUCCGAGGCUUGGCGACAUUCGUCCCCUGCGCCCGCUGCUCCCCCACUAGAUGUUUUGUCUCACGGGUCUGAGCUUAAUGUCCUCCCCAGGCAGUGUCUGACCUGUGGCACACGUAAUUCUGAUUUUUAUAGAAAAAGAGCUCUCCCUUUCAGMGAGGACAUAGUCCGGGCUCAGGCGUGGCGGGGAGCCCUAGAAGGAGCCAGCGGUUYUGCUUGGCGUCCCUUAAAUCAGAGAUGACAGUCAAUGAAGGUCUAGAUUUUGCCGCUUGCAGUGAGCUGCUGCUGCUUUAUUUCGAGAGUCGGGUUAGAUGUUGGUUGUGUUUCAUGGAGAGGUGAAGACCCAAAGGGUUUGGAAGAGAAAAGGAAGGCGGAAUAGAGGUCCUCCAUUAAAUAYGUGCGUGUGCUCCUGUCUGGUGAAUGUGGCUCCUGCUGCGGGAAGGUGCCAGAUGCAGCCCGCGACAUCCAGGACAGAAAUCGCGUCUGCGUUUGUUAUCGUCUUGGCUAGACUCUUCCUUUUUGUUUGCUCCAAAAUCUUUCUGUCUCUGAGCAUCUAAAUGAAUUCUUGAUGGUUCAGGGAAAAUACUCACUAUUAUUACUGAAUGUCUAGACAAACAAAUAUAGCUAAAUGAAAGUAUGCGUAAUGCAGUGUAAUCAAUAUGUGUAAGUACAAAACAUUUUAGUUUACAAAAUCCGAAGGAGCCCCGGGUGCACGCGGGGAGCUGCAUGUACGGCCGCUGGCCCAGCAGCAGCCGGCCGCUCUCCGCGGGGAUCGGUGCCACCGGGACUCGCGCGUGGGCUCCCGAGGAGCAGGACAGCACGGUACAGCAGCUGGGUGCAUCCAGAUGUUGCUUUUUGUGUUGGGGAUUGGGCCGUAGAGCAGAGAAACAUAAAGUAAAACAUGUACWUAUCAAUGGAAAUAGUGUGUUACUUCUUCUUCUUUUAUACACCUUUGUUUUGUAUUUUUGUUGCUUGCAUCUUUUCAGCGCACGGUAGCAGGAUGYGUAAAGAAGUCAUUUUGGCUGCCUGGUUUAACUGUUGAGCAUACCAAAAAGCAAGUGUUGUGAAAUCUAACAGACUGUGAAUGGAGGUUGCAAAAGCGAAUCUUUCAGAAAGCAGGUUUUCUGUAGAUGAAUGUGUCUUUAUUCUAAUGACUAUACAGUUCAAUGCCUGAUGGAGUUGUUUUCAAUAAAAAAUAAUAAAUAUUUGAAAAAAUAAAAAAA